This 93-nucleotide long non-coding RNA is filed under the name Coturnix japonica (Japanese quail). RNAcentral's name for it is "lncRNA (ENSCJPG00005002131.1)". Lineage: Eukaryota; Metazoa; Chordata; Aves; Galliformes; Phasianidae. The record is from RNAcentral.
AGCCCCUAUAGGCGUGCCCCAUAGCACCGAGCCCCAUAGCUCUGUGCCCCAUUAGCUCUGUGCCCAUAGAGCCCGAGCCCAUAGCCUGUGGCG